GGAUAAAGAUAAUUACAAUUUCUAAUCAAGACAGUUUAGAGCAGAAUUGAAUUUUGUUAUUUCAUAAACACUAUAAAUCAUUUUUGCAGGUAAGACGAAAAUAUAGACAGGCGCUGCUGAGAUUCGAACUCAGGAUCUCCUGUUUACUAGACAGGCGCUUUAACCAACUAAGCCACAGCACCACAUGGUUCAUGGAAGUUCUACGUUCAAGACAUCAGAGACUUCUACAGUUCUGGGAUCUUCAUAAUUAUAAAGCGCCAACAAAUUCUGCAGCAACGUACAAUAGGAGGACUAACAGAAAAACAGACAAGUUGGACACACAGGAACAGAGUGGUUGAGGUCUCUGCUCAAUGAGCUUACAUGCGAGGGAGUGGGGUAUAGUGAUACAAAAGGUAAGGGUAGAGUAGAAAACUAGGUUGCUAGAAAAAUAUUCACUUAGUGGGUGUUUUUGAUUUUAUUUUUAAUGACAGUUGUAGGAGAGGAAUCAGGGUGCAGCGAAGGAAAACUGUUGACAAGUUUAAUUGAUAUGUUUUCAUGAAGAAGUAAAUUUUCAAUGAUUUUUUGAAGGAGUGGAGACUGGGUGAAAGUCUAAUGGAGAAGGUAAGGGAAUGUUGAAGCCCUAGAGAAGGUGAGCAUUAAAGUUGGUAGUACAAACUGAGGAUAGACGUGGGUCUUUGGCUGAGCAUAGGGGCCUAGACAGAACAUACUUGUGUAUUAGUGAGGAUAGGUAGGUUGGAGCAGCAUUAUGUAAGAUUUAUAAGCAAGAACCAGAAUUUUAAAUUGAGCCCUGUAUCUUACAGGAAGUCAAUGUAGGGACUGACAGAGGGUGGAGGCAUGGGAAAUGUGGGCAGACAGGAAGAUGAGCCUCGCCACCAAAUUUAUUUUAGACUGUAAUAGGGCAAGUUGGGAACAUGUAAGCAGGGCUGGUGCAAGGAUUUCUGCCACCCUAAGCAAAGAUCCAUUUUGCCGCCCCCUCAUGUUACUCACUCACUGACAGACACACACUGGUAGACACACACACUGACAGACAUACACUCACUCACUGACACACACAAACUCAGUGACAGACAUACACUCACUCACUGACAGACACACAUGCUUACUGACAGACAUACACUCACUGACAGACACACACACUUACUGACAAACACACACACACACACACAGACACUCACUGACAUACUAUACUUACUCACUGACAGACACACACACACGGACACUCACUGACAGACAGACAAACAUUCACUCACUGACAGGCACACACAAACACACACACUAACUGACAUACAUACGCUCACUCAUUGACAGACAGACAGACAGACACACAGACACUCACUGACAUACAUACACUCGCUCACUGAUAGACACACACACAUACACUCACUGACAGACAUACACUCACUUACUGACAGACACACACACACACACACACACACAGACACUUACUGACAGACAUACACUCACUCACUGACACACACACACAUAAACAGAAACUUACUGACAUAGGUACAUACACUCACUCACUGACAGAUAGACACACACACACAGACACUCACUGACAUACAUAAACUCAAUUACUGACAAACACACACACAGGCAGACACACACACACUGACAGUCAAAUACUUACACAAAGGCAGACACUAAGUGACAUAUAUAGACUCAAUCACUGACAGACAUUCACUGACAGACACACACACACACACUCACUGACAGUCAAACAUUCACCUCCCUGGGGUCCUGUGUGGGGCAGCUUCUCACUCCUCCCACCCGCUGUUUAGAAUGCCGGGGCCGGAAUUACAUCCCUGAAUCCCUGGUGUUGCGGCCCCAGACAGAGGGAGGCAUCCCACCAGGAAACAUACUGGUGGGCGCCCCCAGCAGGCUGGUGCCCUAGGCGAAUGCCUAGUUCGCCUAACAGUGGUGCCGGCCCUGCAUGUAAGACCACUGAGAAGUGGAUUGCAGUAGUCAAGGUGAGAGAAGGCAUUGGCAUGGAUCAGCACCAUCUCUGAGGGAUUCAAAAACAUAUUAUAACAGUCCUGAAUUUGGCGGGACAGUCCUGAUUUCACAUCCUGUUCUGCCUUAGUUUCCUGGUGUCUCGUUUUUAAAGGACACCAGGAAACCAUCCCCAACAAUCAUAGUAUGAGCACAUGAUUAGAGGAACUUGUGGUAUAUUUGGGGCGCAUGAUUAAACAAUGUCAGAUUAGUCCAAACAGGGCCCAUUCCAAAUAACAGACCAAGAGGGACUCUGGCAUUCAACUUACCAACAGGCCAGGUCUAUAUGUCAUAAUCCUCCACCCCCAAAAAGGGGCAGAUAAAGUGACCUUAAUUAAUUUAUUAACUGUACACUGCAGGCAUAAAAGACAUCUAAAAGCAUAUAUUUAAUUUUGACAACUGCAUAAGUAUAUAUGCUCAUAUUUCUACUUGUAAUGUAUUGUGUUUGUAUUUAGACAGCUGCCUACAAGCAUUAUACUCACAGGUUCAUACAGGGUUAAAAAUAAUGUUGGGGGGGUGGAGCCUGACUGCUGAACCGACUGGUCGCAUGCUGUCCGAGCUCCAGGCCUGAGACCCUAACACUGAUCUAAAAGCUGGUAAUAGCAGUUGUGGCAUUGCUUGCCUCUUUGUAUUUUUCUUGCACGAAAAAAUAAAGAAUUAAAAAAAAAUGUUAGAGGUUGUUAGGAUAAAUUGGGGGUUAAGGUUUUAGAGAGAUUAAAGCCAGAGUUAGUGAGUUAGGAAUAGGAGGAUUACAUUUGAUUGAGAGGGCGUAUAGUUGUGGUAUAAGGGAUGUUUAGAAUUAUUGGGUUUAGGAUUAGCGAAGGGUUACCAUAGUGUCAU
This 2832-nucleotide transfer RNA is filed under the name Pelobates cultripes (western spadefoot toad). The record is from RNAcentral. Lineage: Eukaryota; Metazoa; Chordata; Amphibia; Anura; Pelobatidae.